Non-coding RNA from Marasmius oreades (fairy-ring Marasmius), 94 nucleotides. The record is from the annotation of a RefSeq genome assembly. NCBI's taxonomy places the organism in Eukaryota, Fungi, Basidiomycota, Agaricomycetes, Agaricales, Marasmiaceae.
CCGACUUUAGCUCAGUUGGAAGAGCAUCAGACUGUAAUAGGUUACCGCCGGCAUUAUCAUCUGGGUGUCGCCUGUUCGAACCAGGCAAGUCGGA